RNAcentral lists this ribosomal RNA (610 nucleotides) under uncultured fungus. Its description in RNAcentral is "eukaryotic LSU rRNA". The stretch from base 228 to 380 matches the Rfam family "5.8S ribosomal RNA". Lineage: Eukaryota; Fungi. The record is from RNAcentral.
AGUAAAAGUCGUAACAAGGUUUCCGUAGGUGAACCUGCGGAAGGAUCAUUACCGAGUGAGGGCCCUCUGGGUCCAACCUCCCACCCGUGUUUAUUUUACCUUGUUGCUUCGGCGGGCCCGCCUUAACUGGCCGCCGGGGGGCUUACGCCCCCGGGCCCGCGCCCGCCGAAGACACCCUCGAACUCUGUCUGAAGAUUGUAGUCUGAGUGAAAAUAUAAAUUAUUUAAAACUUUCAACAACGGAUCUCUUGGUUCCGGCAUCGAUGAAGAACGCAGCGAAAUGCGAUACGUAAUGUGAAUUGCAAAUUCAGUGAAUCAUCGAGUCUUUGAACGCACAUUGCGCCCCCUGGUAUUCCGGGGGGCAUGCCUGUCCGAGCGUCAUUUCUGCCCUCAAGCACGGCUUGUGUGUUGGGCCCCGUCCUCCGAUCCCGGGGGACGGGCCCGAAAGGCAGCGGCGGCACCGCGUCCGGUCCUCGAGCGUAUGGGGCUUUGUCACCCGCUCUGUAGGCCCGGCCGGCGCUUGCCGAUCAACCCAAAUUUUUAUCCAGGUUGACCUCGGAUCAGGUAGGGAUACCCGCUGAACUUAAGCAUAUCAAUAAGCGGAGGAAAAG